Molecule: long non-coding RNA, 643 nt
Organism: Magnolia sinica
Lineage: Eukaryota; Viridiplantae; Streptophyta; Magnoliopsida; Magnoliales; Magnoliaceae
Exons: 4
Source: RefSeq, a predicted model, not a curated record
CACUAAUUAUCCUUAUAUCGAAUGCUUACACAGAUGCAUUGAGGUCAAAAAGCCUCGAGCUUGUGCAACCCAGCUCUCUUACAAUCUAACACAGGCCUGGAUAGAAGGUGUGUAAUAUCCAAGCUUUCCAUCAGGUGGUUCCCCACUUCUUGAUGCCACGGUCCAAAAAUCAGGCAAGUCCACUCCAUGUAAGGAUCACCCAAAGCAAGGGCCCCACACCCUUGGCUUAUUAUUAUUAUUAUUUUUCUUACCAAUCUUCAUUGCUUCAAAAUAUAAUGAAGGGUUUCCAUAAUGUUUGACUUGUAUUAUGUAUUUAUCUUUGGUUGUAAGAUGCUUAUUCAAAGUGGAAGUAACUAUAUAGAGUGUAGGCUCAGGGGUCCACAAUGCUUACAUGGAUGCAUGAUCAAAGCUACUCAUCAGUUUUAUCCUUGAAGAAAGAAGGGGAGAAAAAUCUGUCCACAUAUUUAUAAAAAAAAUUCCAUAGCUGUUCUCCUCCAUCUGCUAGUUACAGGUGGAGCAUUGGUAAUAGAGGGGGGCUUUGCUGCUUCAUAUGGGGAUGGAUAUGGACUUCAUUCGGGUGGUGCUGACAAAGGUCCUCUAUAUGGCAUGAGUUCUCUUGUUCUUGGGGUGCAUUUGAGAAGUC